AUCGCGCCCUGGGCCCAAGGCAGGCGCCAAACCGCUGUGCCACCCAGGGAUCCCCAGAUGUGUCUUUUCAUGACAGAGGUCAGAAUAGCAUUUUUAUAUAAAUGCUCAUACAAAGUGCUAAGUGUACUUAGACAUUAAUUACUAGAAAAACCUAUAGUGUGUAAAUUAAUACUUCAUUGGUCAUACUUAAUAUAUUGAUGUAACUUUUAUUUAGGGCUUCUUUAAACUUUAAGUGCCAAUUUUAUGUGCAGACUCAUGAUAUUGUAUGCAUAUUCAUUUCAUACUGAAUAAACAUACCCACUUCUUAAAGACACCCCCACCCCUAAUAGAGGAUGGCUCAUUUGGAGAAAAUACUAUGCUAAAUAUUGUGUACUGGUACAAAAUUUUAAAUAUAUUACAUUUUUGUUUUGGACAAAAUCUAAAUGACCAAAACUUAUAUGACUUUGUGUAAGUUAUUCGUGGAUCUUUUCUUUAAUUAAUUUGUUACUGAAGUGAGAGUAAACUACUAUGGCUUAAUGCUUAAAAUUACUAAUUAUAAAUCUAUUCAUAAUUCAAAUUAAGAUGUUUGUAAUUAUGACUAAAUAUGAGCAUGUUUAUAACUUUUAUAUGUAUCAGUAAAAGUACAAUCUCAAAUUAAUGUAAUAGUAAGAAAUGAUCAUGCAGCAUUUUCUUUGAUCCUAAAUGUCCCUGUUAUAAAGUAAUCAUGAAGGGAAUUAGAAAAACUGUCUUUUGUUCAUUUUUAAAAAUAACUUGUCUUACAUUGGGAAAACUAUACACAGUUUAGAAUAUUAAGAAAAUACAGAAAAUGUAUACAAGUCAAGGGAAAUAAUCAAUAAUCCCACAAUCUACAGCACUAAUCCUUUAUAGAAAAAUCCAUUGGUCACUGGAAAACAUGUUUAUUUCUCAGUACUUAUGUCUGGACUCUCCUUUUGAAAUUUAACAAUUCAUAAAAUUAAGCUCCUUUUCCCUUUUUUUCUUCUUUCCACAUUUUACAGUGAGUACCAGAGGCUCUGAGCUCUCCUGUAAGCAAUGCAGAGGCAGUGUUGGAUAACUCAGACAAAGACUUUUUCCAUUUAGAUUCCAUUCUGAGGAAGUCCAGAGCUAAUGCAUUCAAAGGCCAGAAACAAAAAUGUAUGCACAAUAAAAUCAGCACCUCAGUAUCAUUAAAUCCUUAGGUUCUUCCUGUUCUUCUCUAUUCCUCUUUGGGCUUAAUUCAUUCUUAGGUUGCUUUCAUUGUCACAUUAAAUAAUUUGUGCGUCAGUCUAUACUAAAUAUCUCCUGUUCAAGUCAGGAGGAUAUAAAGCAAACUUGACUCCUGAGCCUGGAAUAUAAACUAUUUCCUUCCUUGGAUUAGGUCAUUAAAUCAUGUACCAAACCUGGGAACAGCAAAAAUUUUUCACAUUCACUUACUUCAAAAUUGCUCUCAUCCAGGUUGUACCUUUAGGAUAUUUGGAAAAACUUACAGAACACAUUUAUGCAGGUCCAGGUUCAAGAUGGCUACAUAACAUCGUGAACUCACCUUUUUCCAUGGGCAAACUGAGUCUUCAGCUAUGCAAGGGAUAAUUGCCUCUUUAAAAAAAAAAAAAAUGUAAAGGCUGGCUGAUUGCUACAUAUCAGGCAAAUAGAAAGAAAACCACAUUGAAGAUUGCAGGAGGGGGUGGAACACAAUCUUGCCAUAAAUUCUACCUUUGUUGAGGAAACCUACAAGUAGUAGAAAACUCAAACCCUACAGCUUCUCCCUGAGGAGUCAAGGGUUUGAACCCUACAUUGAGUACUCAAGUUUUAGGACCUGCACUUGAGAGAUGAGCCCUUUAAACUUCUAACUGAAAAUCAACAGGCUCAAAUCCUGAGAAUCACAAGAUUGUAGUGAUAUUACCGGUAGCUCUUAAAGGGCCUCUGUAAUUGUACUUACCUGCCCCUAUUCCCAGCUCAGAGGAAGUUAGUCAUGCUCAGACUUAAAGUGAAGGAGGCUCACCUACUUAUAUUGAAAUGUCAGGCUAAGGACAGGCAUCUAACUUAACACACACAUUUAGGAGCUUGCUGAACACCCUCCAGGAGCAGAGACUUCUGGGUACCAUAUUUGCAAUCUCUCUUGCCAGGUCCAGAGCACCAGUAUCUCCGAGAACAGAGCUUUUACAUAUAUCUGAUGACAUCACUUUUAUUGCUGCUACCCAGGGUACACCUGUUUACAGCUUGGCUCUAGAGGCCAAGGAAGCUUGCAUUCCUAGUACAAGAGGUGACUAUGGUAGCCAAUGGGGCUUAUGUUUAUGGAUCCCUUAGAACUCUAGUCAAAGAAGAAAGCGUUCUUAAAAAGCUACUACUGCUAGGGCAUAGAAAGAGGCAAUAGACCCAGAAGUUCUGUCUUUGUGUGAAGGAGGCCUAUUAGCUAGUAAUCAUAGCUGCUCCCGAGAGGCAGGGUUGUAAUUGUUUGCCUUGAUUGCCUGGCUUUGGUGGUCAGGGGCCUUACAUUCCUGGGUCUCCUGAAUCUAUGUAGAGAGGUGGCACUUGCCUACAGUGUGCUACAGAUAGAAGACUAAGGCAUGCCCCCCACCACCCUAUUUUUCUUUGGUAUCUUAUAUACUCCUUAUAUGUCUUGGAGCUUUAGAUUGACAGGCAGGCUUUAGGUUGGGUGUACCUCUAACGGACUGCAGAGCUACUCUCAAGGAAUAUAAGCUGCAGACACCAUCUUGGUACUCUUUCUUGGCCUUACUCCAGCUUGCCAGUUAUCACCCAGAAAAUAGCUGUAUACACUAUCUGGAGCCCUGAUUUUGUGACUGCUGCCUAGGGGAAAAUGCUAGAUUGUCUGGCCAUUGUUAUAUUUAUUGUCUGGCCAGGGUUAUAUUUAUGGCCCCAUAUGAUACAUUUGCAUACUUUUAAAAGCUUCUGCCUGAGAAUUUGCCUUCCAAAAAGUCUCAGUCUCAGUCUAAGAGCCAGGAUGCUCUCCCUUAUGGACGCUAACAAGUCUAGGCACACCCUCAACUCCUGGGAGCUGUAAAAAGAUAAUAAGCUGCUUGGACAAGCACAAAAGUCUAAGUGACAACUAAGAGCUGAGGCAGUAUUGAACAAGAUGCUCCUCCUACAUGAGGCCUCUUCUUCAAGAUUGGAAGUGGUUGUUUUCGUUGUUUUUGUUUUUGUUCUUUAAUCUGCCCUAUAGAAAACAACACAGAGAGCCAAGCAAAUGAGGAAACAAAGGAAUGCAUUCCAUGAAAAAAAAA
Molecule: long non-coding RNA, 3215 nt
Filed under: Canis lupus familiaris (dog)
Lineage: Eukaryota; Metazoa; Chordata; Mammalia; Carnivora; Canidae
Description: lncRNA (ENSCAFG00845028711.1)
Source: RNAcentral